GGCCUACCAUGGUGGUAACGGGUAACGGGGUGUUAGGGCACGACACCGGAGAGGGAGCCUGAGAAACGGCUACCACAUCCAAGGAUGGCAGCAGGCGCGCAAAUUACCCAAUCCCGACACGGGGAGGUAGUGACAAUAAAUAACAAUACGGGGUUCUUUCGGAUCUCGUAAUUGGAAUGAGUACAGUUUAAAUCUCUUAACGAGGAACAAUUGGAGGGCAAGUCUGGUGCCAGCAGCCGCGGUAAUUCCAGCUCCAAUAGCGUAUAUUAAAGUUGUUGCAGUUAAAAAGCUCGUAGUUGAAUUUCGGGAUCAGUAGGUUGGUCAUGCCUAUGGUAUGUACUGGCUUUACUGGUUCCUCCUUCUUGAUGAUCUGUAAUGUCAUUAAUUUGGUGUUGCAGGGAAUCGGGACGGUUACUUUGAAAAAAUUAGAGUGUUUAAAGCAGGCAUACGCUUGAAUACAUUAGCAUGGAAUAAUGAAAUAGGACGUUCGAUCCUAUUUUGUUGGUUUCUAGGAUUGACGUAAUGAUUAAUAGGGAUAGUUGGGGGCAUUAGUAUUCAAUUGUCAGAGGUGAAAUUCUUGGAUUUAUUGAAGACUAACUACUGCGAAAGCAUUUGCCAAGGAUGUUUUCAUUAAUCAAGAACGAAAGUUAGGGGAUCGAAGACGAUCAGAUACCGUCGUAGUCUUAACCAUAAACUAUGCCGACUAGGGAUCGGAUGAUGUUAUUUUUAAUGACUCAUUCGGCGCCUUACG
RNAcentral lists this ribosomal RNA (751 nucleotides) under uncultured Glomus. RNAcentral describes it as "SSU rRNA". It matches the Rfam family "Eukaryotic small subunit ribosomal RNA", at positions 338 to 1092 of the family's 1831-position model. The record is from RNAcentral. Lineage: Eukaryota; Fungi; Glomeromycota; Glomeromycetes; Glomerales; Glomeraceae.